Molecule: ribosomal RNA, 261 nt
Filed under: uncultured archaeon
Lineage: Archaea
Description: partial 16S ribosomal RNA
Rfam family: Archaeal small subunit ribosomal RNA
Source: RNAcentral
UAGCCGUAAACGAUACUCGCUAGGUGUCGGCCACGGUGCGACCGUUGUCGGUGCCGUAGGGAAGCCGUGAAGCGAGCCACCUGGGAAGUACGGCCGCAAGGCUGAAACUUAAAGGAAUUGGCGGGGGAGCACAACAACGGGUGGAGCUUGCGGUUUAAUUGGAUUCAACGCCGGAAAUCUUACCGGGACCGACAGCAGCAUGAAGGCCAAGCUGAAGACUUUGCCGGAUUAGCUGAGAGGUGGUGCAUGGCGUAGUCGUGU